CUCCUCCGAUCGCUGGGAGACUUCAAAAAAAACAAGCAACUGUUAGAGGAUCAUUGUUUUAGUGAUGUCUAUAUUAAUGCGGAUGAAGAUGGAACCUUAUUUCAAGUUGGACUGUGUCCACUCUAGUUUACUAGCAUGUUGAUUUAUGGAUGGACCGUUUUGAAAAGCCUCACUGUCGCCAUCUGUCUGUUCAUAUGAAAUCCCUUACGUUUUCCAAAAGCCCUGUUUCCAGAGCUAAAAUGUAGUGCAAGUGUGAAUGUGGCCAAAACAUGAUGACAGCCGGCGUGUCCUCACAAGGAGCACAGUGGGUUUGGUCUCACCAAGAGCUCCACUCACAGCAGUGGGUGCAACUCUCCAACCUGUACCAGUUGACAUUUCUGUACAUAAUAGUUCACCAUAUUUUGUUAGUAAAGGUUUGAGUGACAAUUGUUUAUCCUGUUAAUUUCCUUUUUAGUGGGACAGCAUAGCAAAAGAAUUGUUCAUUUUGUGAUAAAAGCAUAGAACUUGGCGCACAUAUUCUAAAUUAAGCAAUGUUUAUUUUCAGAUGUGGAGCCAUCCUGGAGCUGACAUGAGCUAAUGAGCUGCAGGGGGUCAAAAAAGAAUUACAGAGGUCAAAAUUUUGAAGUACUCCAAUCAUAUUGAAAACUAUACCACAUUAUUUGUCUGAUCAUAAUGAUUCCAAAAAGGUAUAGUUUUGACUAUGACUGAAUGUUCUGG
Long non-coding RNA from Thalassophryne amazonica, 717 nucleotides. RefSeq lists it as uncharacterized. Lineage: Eukaryota; Metazoa; Chordata; Actinopteri; Batrachoidiformes; Batrachoididae. The transcript is spliced from 3 exons. The record is from RefSeq and is a predicted model, not a curated record.